This 206-nucleotide unclassified non-coding RNA is filed under the name Melitaea cinxia (Glanville fritillary). RNAcentral describes it as "misc RNA ENSMCXG00005002240.1". Lineage: Eukaryota; Metazoa; Arthropoda; Insecta; Lepidoptera; Nymphalidae. The record is from RNAcentral.
UUACACACUAGUUUAAGAUCUUAGUUAUUAAGGUUAAAUAAAAAAGGUUUAUUAUUUUUUGCUUUUCAGUUUUUUCGGCGGUUUAAUUUUUUGUUAAAAUAGUUUUUAUAUUUAUUUGUAUAGAUUAUGUGUGUUCACUAGAAUAUUCAUUGUUUUGAAAUGAAUAAUAAUAAUCGCAGUGUAAACACAAGAAAUAAUAACAAAAU